GAGUGGGAGUUGUUGGGAAUUGUAUCCUAAAUGUCAAUCGUCAGCAUGUUGAUGAUUAAAUGAAUUGACAAAUCAAUAAAGUAUUUUUUGGCAUUAUUCAUCAUUUUACAUCUUCAAAUGAACUCUUAUAUGAUGAAGUCUGUUCGUCCUUUCCUAUCUACCUAAAAAUAUGCUAGACAGAUCGUUGUUAGAACCGACGAACAAAAGUUAAAUUAAUUUUACUCUUACCUUUCCUACUCGAAGAAUAGUGGUUGUAAGAGGUCGAUCCACAGGGAGGCGAUUGGAGUUGCUUAAAACGUUCACUCGGAUUCAAAAUCGAUUUUGAAUAACUAAAGAAAAACAUGAUGUCGGGGAUGAUGAUAGAUUCUCUAAUUUACCAGAGAAUUUUCUUU
Molecule: long non-coding RNA, 392 nt
Filed under: Phoenix dactylifera (date palm)
Lineage: Eukaryota; Viridiplantae; Streptophyta; Magnoliopsida; Arecales; Arecaceae
Description: long non-coding RNA (PDAC_LNC017396)
Source: RNAcentral